Molecule: non-coding RNA, 2347 nt
Organism: Rattus norvegicus (Norway rat)
Lineage: Eukaryota; Metazoa; Chordata; Mammalia; Rodentia; Muridae
Source: RefSeq, a predicted model, not a curated record
CAAAGAGUAAGAGGGGGUCUGUACUCUUAACCGCUCAGCCAUCUCUCCAACCCCUGUUUGGGCUUUGUAAUUAGGUUUCACAUAGCUUGGGCUGAGUUGCUGUUGGGGUAGAACUCUCUGCCCACAUCCAGAAAGACCACACCAAUCCAACAUGGUUCCACGUGCAGAGCUUUAAUGAGAGAAGAAGAGUAGCAGAGGGGAAGGAUAAAGGCCGGCCAUGAGCACGUGGAAUGGGGAGAGAAGGGACAAAGGAGAAGAGGGGAAGAGCAGGGAGCAAGAGAAGAAAGAACAAGAGAAGAGGAGGGGCCAAGCAGUCAGGCACAGCUGACUGUUGCCAGGUAACCGUGGGGCAACUGUGGGGGUGGAGCUUAGACAGAAUACCAACAGUUGCAACUCACAAUGUGCCAGAGGAGGACGGCUUCUUCCCGCUUCUGAUCUCCUGCCGUGCCCUGCUGAAUACUGGGAUUACCGGCAUGCAGCACCUUGCUGGGCUGGAACUUUCUAAAGCUAAAGCAGUUUGGCUUUAUAUGUUUAUUUGACAGUUUCAUUUCCUACCCUCAAAGCAAGAACCAGAAGAGUACAAGCAAUGGAAUGUAGAUAAGUGUGGCCCUCACUCCUCAUCAAGCACACAUCUCCAUGGCAGAUGGAGACCAUUACAGAAAACCACAACCCAUCAAACUGCAGAGCAAAGGAGCAUGUGGUGCCCAGCCCCAGCUGAUCCAUCUACAGCUUGACUCCCUCACCUAAGGCUCAAGGAGCAUCUCAGAAGAAAGGACUCAAUGACUGUCAGAGUAACAGGAAGUCCUCUGUGAAAUCAUGUCCCCUAGAAAUGUCACAGACACUACACUCACGAAGCCUCAACAACAUGGCUGCCUAAACAAGGCCUGAACAGGAACAACUUCAGCGUACACAUUAACAUGGAAUGGGGAGUUCUCACAGGGACCCAACCCUAGGAAAAGAACUUCAGGCAACUAAGGACUGCGGAGAGAAGGAGACAACUUUUGAUGUUGAAGGGAUUCUGACCAACUUGGGCAUGGCGAGCAUGUCCCUGGCAGGCCCUGCCCUUCUCCCCAUUCCCUCUGCCUUGCUAAAAACUGUUAGAUUACGCUCCUAAAGCUACCCCCCAAGGUCUACCCCCUUAUUUGCCCACUUCCUCCUCCCUAGGCUGACUACUAAGGUUCAGCUAUCAAAGUAUUGAAGUCCAGUAAUCAAAGCCCCCUUUGGCUCACCUAAUUAACAUGCUCAAUUAAAAUUAAACACCUCAUCCUAACACAGGAUUUCCCCCUUGCACUUUUGUAAAUUGACAUUUUUCCUAUGUGCCACACCUAUCUUCUAUUUAGAGGCAGUCCUUUGUCCUCCUGGAAGAAAUCCCCCUCCUCCUGCUCCCUUGUUCCCUUCCCCUUUCCCCCCCCCCAUUCUCUAUCUCCUGGCUUUGUCUCUUAUUCCCUGUGCUUUGUCCCUCUGGGCCAAAGAAAUCUCCUGUGUGUGGAGAACUUGGUCUUGGGGGUCAUGAGCUGAAACUUUUCCUUUCAGAUGUUGUUUUCUUUGAGUCUAGAUGAGGGCUGCCUGAAUUCGGCUUCUCGUGUUCUCAGGGUUUCCUUUUCCUUCUCCCUCGUCUAGGUCAGGACAAAGCUUGACAUCUCUGAUAAGGCUUGCUCUGGGAGAAGAUGGGUGUUUCCUUCCAUCCCUCCCCCUCACAGAUCACAGUCAUCCAAGCCUCCCAUCCCUCCCCUCUCACAGAUCACAGUCAUCCAAGUCUUCUGUAUUUGUCUUACAUCUUGGGCCCAAACACUUGCCAAUCCUACUUGCAUGGUCAUUAGAGCCCAAAGUCACUGUUAACCAAACCUACUAAACAAUAAAUCCUGAGUGGUCUGGCAGUGGCUUCCAGGGCAUUGCCUACCUUCCUACAAACUCUAGAGUAGAUCUCAUAUAUUUGUAUUCAGCAUAUCCAAGUAGUUUAGUGCUGGAUUAUUUAGCCAGUAGUAAUGCUGGAAAUCUACGACUCCAGUGUGCUUUGCUUUGAACAUUUCCAUCCUUGCUAUCAGGGAAUCUGGUAAGGUGUGGAUAUGAAACCACUUUGGAAAACGGGUUCAUUUACAUCAGGUACAAUGGAAUAUACCUAUAUAGCUUACGAUCCUAGCUAUGUGGAAGAUUAAGGCCAGUAGAUACUUUGAGGUGUAUCUAGGCAACAUAACAAGACCCUUCCUUAGUGACCUGUAGUUCUUUGCCUAGGGUUAGGUUCCUGUAAGGUUUUCCCCCUUCCGUGUUAAGGUGUCUACUGGUGUUGUUCUUGUUCGGGUCUUGUUAAGGCAGUCAUGUUGUUGAAGAAAAAAAAAAGGCUUAUCUG